Molecule: long non-coding RNA, 1042 nt
Organism: Cavia porcellus (domestic guinea pig)
Lineage: Eukaryota; Metazoa; Chordata; Mammalia; Rodentia; Caviidae
Exons: 4
Source: RefSeq, a predicted model, not a curated record
ACAAACAAAAUACCCCACGAAACAACAAAACCAAACAGUCCACUUCCAGGAUUCUGAGUUCACUAACAGACAGCCUGUGGUGACACAGUCCCGAAUCGUGCCACCUUAUCUUCACAAGCCAGCAGUUGCUUUAUAGUGGAGUAGCAGACAACCUUAGCAGGCAUGCUCUGAGACCAGACUCAUUAUGCUCGCCGCAGUCUAAGCAGUGUCCCCGGGUCGGCGCCCAGCUAGGAGCUGCUGGAGGAAGCUAGCAGCAGUUCGGGUUCCGGCGUAUUCUGCCCAAUUCCAAAAUGGCUCCCAGCCAAUCGUUUUUACAGCGGGAGGACUGAGUCCUCUGCACUCACCGCGAACCAGUGCAGUCCUCCACGUCCACCGCUUCCCUCCACUGCCGUGUCUCUGCAGAGGCCUCCAGGCUGGCCAGCCGCCACUGUCACCGUGACCAUGCGUCGCCAGCAGCUCCUCGUGCACGGGUCCUUAAACUCAAGAACCUCAGGAGCUGAAUGGGUCGAGGCAUAUGGCGCCAGAACACAGAUGGGCCUUCCAGAGUUUCUGGGAUUACAAGCGUGUACCACCAAAGUUGGCUAAGGAUGAGGAACAACCUGCAUGAAGCUCCAGAGAAUUCUCUUGAGAAACACAGGAAAUAGAGAACAAGUUAAAUGACAUCUUUCAGAAGCAAUCAACCAAAUCCAGAAUGUAAGACACUCUGCAGGACAAAUGAUCCAGCUGUCCCAAUAAGUCAGUGGUAUGGGAGGAGAAAGGAGAUGGGGCUAUUAUAGAAUAAAAGAAAUUUAAGACUUGUAAUAACCAAAUACAGCUUAUGAACCUCACUUGGAUCCUGAUGUGAACAAAUCAGCUCCAAAGAUAGCUCAGGAUGCGAUGACAUUAGGAAGCUAUUGUUCAUCUUAAGUGUAACACUGGCAGGGGAUUUAUAGUACUUUCAAUGUCCUUAUUAAGUAGAGAUUUUUACUGAGACAGUUCUGGGUGAAAUGACAUGCUCUAGAUUUUGCUUUAAAUACUCCAACAAAAACAUUGUCCCAUUGGA